AAGUCAUUUCACACCCCUAAACCGUCCUUAAUCACUCCAAAUCAUUGAUAAGGGGUUUUUAAACACAUAAUUACAAUCCCUAAGCCCUAAAUCAGUCAAGUUACGAUCCAAAACCCUUUCUCUCUUCCCAAGAACAAAAUCUAAGUUUACCUCUCAAGAAUCAAGAAGUUAAGCUCCGAAUUCAAAGUUCUCUACAAGGAUUCUUUCAAUCAAGCUUGAAGGUCCAAUCUUUCAACGAAUUUGUUACCAUAAAGGUAUGUGGG
This 263-nucleotide long non-coding RNA is filed under the name Capsicum annuum. RNAcentral describes it as "long non-coding RNA (CANN_LNC002179)". The record is from RNAcentral. Lineage: Eukaryota; Viridiplantae; Streptophyta; Magnoliopsida; Solanales; Solanaceae.